AACGGCUACCACAUCCAAGGAAGGCAGCAGGCGCGCAAAUUACCCAAUCCUGAUACAGGGAGGUAGUGACAAUAAAUAACAAUACAUGGUAUCUAUUACCGUGUAAUUGGAAUGAGUACAAUGUAAACACCUUAACAAGGAACAAUUGGAGGGCAAGUCUGGUGCCAGCAGCCGCGGUAAUUCCAGCUCCAAUAGCGUAUAUUAAAGUUGUUGCAGUUAAAAAGCUCGUAGUUGAAUUUCUGAGGUGUCCAAUGGUGAAGACUUAUGUUUUCUACUGUUAAGACACCUCUCUUAUCCAUAGUUUGCACAUAUGCUUAACUGUGUGUGUGUAGAUUGUGGAGCAUUUACUUUGAAAAAAUUAGAGUGUUCAAAGCAAACAGUUGUUUGAAUAUGUUAGCAUGGAAUAAUAACAUAGGACAUCAGUUCUAUUUUGUUGGUUUAUAGGACUGGGGUAAUGAUUAAUAGGGAUAGUUGGGGGCAUUAGUAUUUAAUUGUCAGAGGUGAAAUUCUUGGAUUUAUGAAAGACUAACUUCUGCGAAAGCAUUUGCCAAGGAUGUUUUCAUUAAUCAAGAACGAAAGUUAGGGGGUCGAAGACGAUCAGAUACCGUCGUAGUCUUAACCAUAAACUAUGCCGACUGGGGAUUGGACAGCGUUAUUAUUAUGACCUGUUCAGCACCCUAUGGGA
Molecule: ribosomal RNA, 685 nt
Filed under: uncultured Cyllamyces
Lineage: Eukaryota; Fungi; Neocallimastigomycota; Neocallimastigomycetes; Neocallimastigales; Neocallimastigaceae
Description: bacterial SSU rRNA
Rfam family: Eukaryotic small subunit ribosomal RNA
Source: RNAcentral